Molecule: transfer RNA, 49 nt
Filed under: Mastigostyla major
Lineage: Eukaryota; Viridiplantae; Streptophyta; Magnoliopsida; Asparagales; Iridaceae
Description: partial tRNA-His
Source: RNAcentral
GGCGGAUGUAGCCAAGAUGGAUCAAGGCAGUGGAUUUGUGAAUCCACCA